AACGAACGCUGGCGGCAUGCCUAACACAUGCAAGUCGAACGAGACCUUCGGGUCUAGUGGCGCACGGGUGCGUAACGCGUGGGAACCUGCCCUUAGGUUCGGAAUAACUCCCCGAAAGGGGUGCUAAUACCGGAUAAUGUCUUCGGUCCAAAGAUUUAUCGCCUUUGGAUGGGCCCGCGUUGGAUUAGCUAGUUGGUAGGGUAAAAGCCUACCAAGGCGACGAUCCAUAGCUGGUCUGAGAGGAUGAUCAGCCACACUGGGACUGAGACACGGCCCAGACUCCUACGGGAGGCAGCAGUGGGGAAUAGUGGAAAAUGGGCGAAAGCCUGAUCCAGCAAUGCCGCGUGAGUGAUGAAGGCCUUAGGGUUGUAAAGCUCUUUUAACCGGGAUGAUAAUGACAGUACCGGGAGAAUAAGCUCCGGCUAACUCCGUG
Molecule: ribosomal RNA, 433 nt
Filed under: uncultured bacterium
Lineage: Bacteria
Description: partial 16S ribosomal RNA
Rfam family: Bacterial small subunit ribosomal RNA
Source: RNAcentral